CAUCGCCUCUUGUCCCCAAAAUAUAAGAGGUCCCGCCUGCCCUGUGACUAUAUGUUUAACGGCCGCGGUAUCUUAACCGUGCGAAGGUAGCGUAAUCACUUGUCUUUUAAAUGAAGACCUGUAUGAAUGGCAUCACGAGGGCUUAACUGUCUCCCCUCUCCAGUCAAUGAAAUUGACCUCCCCGUGCAGAGGCGGGGAUAUUUAUAUAAGACGAGAAGACCCUGUGGAGCUUUAGACCUAAAGUAAACCACGUUUAAUGUACUAGAAUUAAUAGCAAAAACUUAGUGGACAUUUAUUUAAGUGUCUUUGGUUGGGGCGACCGCGGAGUAAAACAUAACCUCCAUGUGGACGGGGAUACUUUCCCUAAAACUCAGAGCCUCCACUCCAAGCAACAGAAAUUCUGACCUUACUGAUCCGGUACAACCGAUUAACGAACCCAGUUACCCCAGGGAUAACAGCGCAAUCCCCUCUCAGAGCUCAUAUCGACGAGGGGGUUUACGACCUCGAUGUUGGAUCAGGACAUCCUAGUGGUGCAACCGCUAUUGAGGGUUCGUUUGUUCAACGAUUAAAGUCCUACGUGA
This 581-nucleotide ribosomal RNA is filed under the name Merluccius productus (North Pacific hake). RNAcentral's name for it is "partial 16S ribosomal RNA". It matches the Rfam family "Bacterial large subunit ribosomal RNA", at positions 1814 to 2603 of the family's 2925-position model. Lineage: Eukaryota; Metazoa; Chordata; Actinopteri; Gadiformes; Merlucciidae. The record is from RNAcentral.